GUGAAUUAUAGGGCGUCUACUUCGGUAGAGCCUGACCUCCACUUUCUAACUCUGUGCACUCAUUUGGCGGAAUACGGAACAGUAAUCGUCUAACGACGAUUAGGACUUCUGCUUUCUGCGGCUUACUUUAAAACACUAGUCAAAGUAUGUAACGAAAUAUCGAAAUAAAAAA
This 172-nucleotide unclassified non-coding RNA is filed under the name uncultured Sporidiobolales. Its description in RNAcentral is "sequence contains ITS1". The record is from RNAcentral. Lineage: Eukaryota; Fungi; Basidiomycota; Microbotryomycetes; Sporidiobolales.